UACGAAGGGGGCUAGCGUUGUUCGGAAUUACUGGGCGUAAAGCGCACGUAGGCGGAUAUUUAAGUCGGGGGUGAAAUCCCGGGGCUCAACCCCGGAACUGCCUUCGAUACUGGGUAUCUUGAGUUCGGAAGAGGUGAGUGGAAUUGCGAGUGUAGAGGUGAAAUUCGUAGAUAUUCGCAGGAACACCAGUGGCGAAGGCGGCUCACUGGUCCGAUACUGACGCUGAGGUGCGAAAGCGUGGGGAGCAAACAGG
This 253-nucleotide ribosomal RNA is filed under the name uncultured bacterium. RNAcentral describes it as "partial 16S ribosomal RNA". It matches the Rfam family "Bacterial small subunit ribosomal RNA", at positions 524 to 776 of the family's 1533-position model. The record is from RNAcentral. RNAcentral also lists the same sequence under 1 other name.